AGUCUAUCUGAUUAUAUUAUAUCAUAUGCACAUAUCUACUCAGAAGAAGCUGCUAUAAGCAUGAAAAGAUCAAAAGAGAUGAAACACUGUAUAGAUCUCAAGUCUGAUACACAAUCUUCAUUUAUAUCAAUAUACAAUCUCUCUGAAACUGAGUCUGUAUGUAUGUAUGUAUUGGUUUAGCGUCCCAGAGAAGACACAGGCAAUGCCUGCACUUCAAAAGCCUCCCGAAGGGCAUGGGGAUGUGCUACGCUGGAGAAAUCUCUAUAUACACAGUAAUGAUAGACUCAGGAUCCAGAUAGCAACUCUUGAGAAGACUCAGUCUAUAUAGACUGUUCAUCCACUUCUGGCCCGACGUAUGGCCAUUCAUGGUAGAGAUAAUCAAAGCACACAAGUGCUACGGCAGGGCGAUUGCUCGUAGUGAGCAGCGGCAGGGUGAUUGCUCGCAGGGAGCAGCGGCAGGGCGAUUGCUCGUAGUGAGCAGCGGCAGGGUGAUUGCUCUCCCAGAGAGCAGAGGC
This 515-nucleotide small RNA is filed under the name Histoplasma ohiense. Its description in RNAcentral is "hypothetical lncRNA". The record is from RNAcentral. Lineage: Eukaryota; Fungi; Ascomycota; Eurotiomycetes; Onygenales; Ajellomycetaceae.